UACGUAGGGUGCGAGCGUUAAUCGGAAUUACUGGGCGUAAAGCGCGCGCAGGCGGUUUUGUAAGCCAGGUGUGAAAUCCCCGGGCUUAACCUGGGAAUGGCAUUUGGGACUGCAAGGCUCGAGUGCGGCAGAGGAGACUGGAAUUCCUGGUGUAGCAGUGAAAUGCGUAGAUAUCAGGAGGAACACCGAUGGCGAAGGCAGGUCUCUGGGCUGACACUGACGCUCAUGCACGAAAGCGUGGGGAGCAAACAGG
RNAcentral lists this ribosomal RNA (253 nucleotides) under uncultured bacterium. Its description in RNAcentral is "partial 16S ribosomal RNA". It matches the Rfam family "Bacterial small subunit ribosomal RNA", at positions 524 to 776 of the family's 1533-position model. The record is from RNAcentral.